AAUUCUUCAUCCUCAUUCUUCAGGUGGACGCCUGAUUUCUUCUUCAAUUCUUCAUCCUCAUUCUCCAGGUGGACGCCUGACUUCUUCUUAAAUUUUUCAUCCUCAUUCUCCAGGUGGAUGCCUGAUUUCUUCUUCAAUUCUUCAUCCUCAUUCUCCAGGUGGACGCCUGACUUCUUCUUAAAUUUUUCAUCCUCAUUCUCCAGGUGGACGCCUGACUUUUUCUUCAAUUUUUCACCGGGUGUUUCUUGACACAAAUGUUGUUUUUGCUCCUGUUUCAAAUCAAAGAAAACUUCGUUAGUUUAAAACAGGGUGGUUAAUUGGGGCAUUCUUGCCGACGGUGGGACUUCUCUUCGUCUUGUUUUAUUGCCUUGUAAUGGUUGAAAAGACUGUUCUGUCUUUGUAAUUGAUCCUUAACUAUAGGAUCCCCAACUGUAUGUUUUCCUUCAAACCUUUUUAACCGUAAUCAUAUGUCUCUCCUGACAUUGCUGAUCCGCUUUUGAUUCCACUUUUCUUACACCCAUAUCUUAUUAUUUUUUAUUACCUCCUGCCCAUCAUGGCCGU
RNAcentral lists this long non-coding RNA (561 nucleotides) under Nicotiana tabacum (common tobacco). Its description in RNAcentral is "long non-coding RNA (NTAB_LNC014203)". The record is from RNAcentral. Lineage: Eukaryota; Viridiplantae; Streptophyta; Magnoliopsida; Solanales; Solanaceae.